UGGGGAAUAUUGCACAAUGGGGGAAACCCUGAUGCAGCGACGCCGCGUGAGCGAUGAAGUAUUUCGGUAUGUAAAGCUCUAUCAGCAGGGAAGAAAAUGACGGUACCUGACUAAGAAGCCCCGGCUAACUACGUGCCAGCAGCCGCGGUAAUACGUAGGGGGCAAGCGUUAUCCGGAUUUACUGGGUGUAAAGGGAGCGUAGACGGCAUGGCAAGCCAGAUGUGAAAGCCCGGGGCUCAACCCCGGGACUGCAUUUGGAACUGUCAGGCUAGAGUGUCGGAGAGGAAAGCGGAAUUCCUAGUGUAGCGGUGAAAUGCGUAGAUAUUAGGAGGAACACCAGUGGCGAAGGCGGCUUUCUGGACGAUGACUGACGUUGAGGCUCGAAAGCGUGGGGAGCAAACAGG
RNAcentral lists this ribosomal RNA (404 nucleotides) under Acidobacteriota bacterium. RNAcentral describes it as "Acidobacteria bacterium partial 16S ribosomal RNA". It matches the Rfam family "Bacterial small subunit ribosomal RNA", at positions 355 to 776 of the family's 1533-position model. The record is from RNAcentral. Lineage: Bacteria; Pseudomonadati; Acidobacteriota. RNAcentral also lists the same sequence under 2 other names.